ACACAUGCAAGUCGAACGGAGUUCUUACGGAUGAAGCUUCGGCCGAUGAAGUUUGAACUUAGUGGCGGACGGGUGAGUAACGCGUGAGCAACCUGCCUUACAGAGGGGGAUAACAGUCGGAAACGACUGCUAAUACCGCAUGACAUAGGGAGAGGGCAUCCUUUCCUUAUCAAAGAUUUUAUCGCUGUAAGAUGGGCUCGCGUAUGAUUAGAUAGUUGGUGAGGUAACGGCUCACCAAGUCGACGAUCAUUAGCCGGACUGAGAGGUUGAACGGCCACAUUGGGACUGAGAUACGGCCCAGACUCCUACGGGAGGCAGCAGUGGGGAAUAUUGCGCAAUGGGGGCAACCCUGACGCAGCAACGCCGCGUGAAGGAUGAAGGUUUUCGGAUUGUAAACUUCUUUUGUCGAGGAUGAUAGUGACAGUACUCGACGAAUAAGCCACGGCUAACUACGUGCCAGCAGCCGCGGUAAUACGUAGGGGGCAAGCGUUGUCCGGAUUUACUGGGUGUAAAGGGCGAGUAGGCGGUUUUGCAAGUCUGAUGUGAAAUACCGGAGCUCAACUCCGGGGCUGCAUUAGAAACUGUAGGACUUGAGUGAUGGAGAGGCAGGCGGAAUUCCCGGUGUAGCGGUGGAAUGCGUAGAUAUCGGGAGGAACACCAGUGGCGAAGGCGGCCUGCUGGACAUUAACUGACGCUGAGGAGCGAAAGCGUGGGGAGCAAACAGGAUUAGAUACCC
RNAcentral lists this ribosomal RNA (736 nucleotides) under uncultured bacterium. RNAcentral's name for it is "bacterial SSU rRNA". It matches the Rfam family "Bacterial small subunit ribosomal RNA", at positions 51 to 787 of the family's 1533-position model. The record is from RNAcentral.